UCCCUGUGUACCUGAUGCCUUCUGAAGGUGUCCAGAUGUGCAUGUCAAGGAUGCUCCUGUCUGCAGUUGCCAGCCUGGCAGGUAGCAGCAAUCCCUACUGUAAUGAAUGGGAACAAAUGAACUUUCCUCCCUGUAACUAGUGGAUACCUUCAGUAGCCAUCAGUGCUCUGGAGGUUGCCUUUGGGUUCUUCCUUUGUACCACCAUAAAAAAAAAAAUCUUUGCAAUAGCACUUCACUUGAUUCUGGCUCCCCAUACAACCAAGAAGUUAAAGAGAAAUUUCAGAUUGUUUUUUGAUCUGUGGGUCCCACAGGUGGCUGAAGAAAGGAGAAUGGAUAAACACUGGGUGCUGGUUGGGUACAUCAUCCUUUUUCCUGCAGUCAAAAUAAUCGGCAUCGGCCUAGAGAUGUUGUGAAAGGGACAAUGCUUAAAGACACUGGAAUGUAGGAAAGCAAAUCAAAGCUUUAGUAGGUCUACUGGAAAACUGUCUGCCAAUUUUCUCUCUUUUUUUUUUUUUUUAACACAAUUCAAACUUCAAAUUUGAAGAUAUUAGCCAUGUCUGGCCAUUUAAACAUAUACAGUUUGUCCAUUUACCCAGUUAUUCACUAAACUGUGGCUGAUAUCUAGAAUGGCGCAGAAGAAAUAAGACACAAAAGAAACAGGACCCAAAAGAAAUUUCCCAAGCAUCCUAACACCACCACCAGCAGUCAUGGCGUCUUUUGAAGGCACUUAUGAAAUCUAUCUAUCAUGUCUCCAAUCAGAAGCAACAGUGUUAAGAGAUCUCUGUGACCAGCUACUCAGAGCUCACAGCUGACCAAAGUCACAUCAUCCUAUUAUUCAUCAAACCCUUGAUCCAGCAGUGCUAUUUAUUCCUGCUGGUCCUAUGAUGAGGCUGUUGGGGGCAUUCACUGAUCUCAUGGUAGGGCAAGUUUGAUUUCCAAGGUGAAUCUAUGAGCUACAAAGUUUGAGUCAUCCUUUGUUCCAGGUUAGCUGGCUCAGCCAACCUAACGUAUCGUAAAGAAGAGCUGUGGUCCAGCUGCUGCUCUCUCCUUUUCUGGUUCAGGGACAUGAUGCUCCUAGGAUUGUGGCUGCUCUUUCAAAACACGAGGCACAAAGGAGUGCUUGCUGUUUGCUAAUUGCUGGAUGACAUUUUUCUACCCGCUGGCGCUGCCGCCGUCUCUGCUCGUGGUUACAUCUUGUCUUUGAUCUUGUUCAUGGUCUGGCCUUCAUCUUUCUGCCUCAAAAAUGUUCUCUUUCAUUUCCUGUUGGAGGAAGAGACUAGGUCCAUUCCUGCAAGUGGAAGGAUCAGAUAUAACUUUAUUGAAUUCUGUUUGCCCACAGAAUGCCAGCAAGACAAAUUUUAAGGAGAAAAAAAGUGCCCAUUGUUUCAGCCAAAAGCCUUGCCUCCAUACAGGUGAUAAAAGCCAGGGUUGGAGAUGCUGUCAGACAAAUUUUAAAAACUCCAGUAUCUGCUACCUCUGUACCUCUGUGAUGCUCCUGUUCAUUUAGUUCAAUACAACUUUUAUUCAGACUGGAGGAAGAUAGUGCAUUGUGACUGGAUGAUAGCUCUGUAGUUUGCCUUCAGGACAGCUUGGAGUGACGUGCCAAGGCUGCCCUGCAGCAAACACCCUUCCAGCAUUUCAGCCAGUACCUCACUCUUCCACUCAUACAACACAGCAGGGCACAGCAAACAAUUAUGCAUUUCUCAGAAAGCCUACCUUGCAGGCUCUUGGAAGACACAGUGGGCAGGUGCACGUUAACCUCCUGGGCUGAGACCCAGUUGGGUUCUGCUCAUUUUUGGCAUUUCCUGCUGGGACUGUCCUUUGGUUGUCUGCAGGGAGUUACUUGUCUGCCUUGGUUGCAAUGGUCAGCAGAUCUGUGCUGUAUUCUGUGAGCAUGUGGCUCUUCACUGGAAUCUUCUUGCUACUUUACCAGCAAAGGAGCUGCUCCAUCACUCUUUUUUUGGCUGUCUGAAUUGCUUUCCUGAAUACACCAUAAGUGGUUCUUUGCAGGGUUCCUGCAAGAGUUAGUGUUUGCAUCUAUCCCAAGGAAGGAAAGGUGACUUGGAAGCUGAAGAAUGCCAUCUGUGUUGGCUCAGGAAAUUUGCUGCCUCCCACCUGACUGUGAUGCAUGGAAGUACACAAGUUGGGCAGCAGUUAUCCAGGUGCCAUACAGCCUUCGUUCCCACCUGGGAAGAAGAGAGGAGGUAUUUCAGUGCCCAGCAGCAAGAAGCUGAAUGCAAGAAGAUAAAAGGGGCAUUGAGGUCUGCUAGCUAAUAAACCAUCUUUGGAAGAGAUGAGCAUCCUAUAGGUAGGGAAGAAGUCCAAGAAACAGAGCACAUAGAGAGUAAUCUCAUCCUUACAUCCUUUCCACACUUCUGGCAGUCAGUGCUUCAAGAAUGUGGACCAAAUUUCAGCCAUAGUUUAUUAUAAUAAUGAUCAGUUCUUUCUUAAUGAUAAGUUCUAUAAUUAAAUUGGCAAACCACUCUGUUUCUGAUUUUAAGCUCAUUUCUAAACAACAUUACUGAAAACCCUCUAGUCUGUGAAUUGCAAGGAAAGAACUAACUGGCUCAUUUUUGUCUUCUUUGUGGUCUUCUAUUAAUUUUUCUUCCACCCUGGUGACUCCUUAGGGCCAUGGCUUAGUGGGCAGUGUUGGUGAGAGGAGAACAAUUGGACUAGAUGAUCUUAGAGGUCUUUUCCAACCUGAACGAUUCUGUGAUGGUCUAAUGUCUUCUCUCACUGCAAACCUACUCCUUAACAGAUCAUCCCUCACCCUUCCUUUCAAAGACCUUUUAUCCAUUUGAAACAGCAGUACCAGAACUCCACCAGCAAAGGUGUGUGCACAUGCAUGUAACAGUUAUCUCCUGCUAGCAACUCCAACAUCGGAAUUUGAGCUACAGCUCAAAGACACUAUUUUUGCAGCAAACUGCCCCCCACCCCCUCCUGCUACAUGUGAAUAGUUUCACUCCAUUGCAGAUCUUCAGAACUGUCACUUCUGCAUCCGUUGCCAAUUAAAUUCAACUGGUGUUUCCAUCAGCUGUCACUCCGUGUUGCGAUGUGCUCUGGCAGUAUUUCUCAGCAUGUCUCACUGGGAUCACUGUCAGCGGUUCUGCGUCACCAGUGAGUCCUCUCACCUUGUUUGUGAGACCACCCUUUGUCAGGAGCCCACAGCGUGGUACCCGUGAUGUGAUGUUGAUGGAGAAGAGACCCAAGGAGCAGCAGGAAAACUGCUAAAUUUACUUUUGCGUGUUUGGGAAAGCUUCAAAGCUAUUGAAAACAACACUUUCAAGCCAAGAUGAAAGUAAUAAAAAUGGUGUAAGACACAAGUUGGGACUGCAGACUGCAGAACAGUGCAAGUCAAUUGAAUGGAGACUGAAUGGGUCUCGGAGGCCUUCUGCUCCUGCUAAAGACCUGAAUGAGGUAUUUCUGCCUUUGCCUCAAAGUAGGAAUAUAAAUUAAAGGGUGCACUUUGUGCCACAUGUCUUUGCUGCAUUUCAGCAGACUCCCCAUGUUGGCCAUGAAAUGGUAUCAGCCACAAUGGCACACAGCCUCAUUGUCAGCUCCUCACCCCAGUGCGGAGGAAGCCAGAUCAAAGUUGGAAAGAUGCUUCUUUUGUCACCCAGCCCUGUACUGCACCAUCUCCAGGUGCCUCAUGCUGUAGAUAUGCACUGCUCUGCACUGCAGUGAUUCCAUGUAAUGGAACUCAGCGUGUUCUGCAGCUGAAAUGCAGCAGGGCUGAGCAACCAGAUGAGGAAGAUGGUCAUGCAUGCCCUUAGGUCAAAUGUAGCUGUUUGAUAAAAGGAAAGCCACAGCAAGUUAGCAUAGUUGAACCUCACAUUUCAUCAGGGGUGGUGGUGUACCUGCACUGAUUUCUUGGUGGUUCAUCAGGGACAGUAAUAUGAGGAGUCACACUACAAGAGCAUUUCCUUACUGUGUCCUCUUCUGAGAAGUGACAGCAGCUCCAGAGCUGAUCAGUGGAGUUCUGAAGGGAUUCAGGUCCUGGUCUGUGAUCCUCACUGAGACAUGCUCUCCACUCUCUCACAUGUGGGGCAGCAGAGUCUCUCCCCAUCAUCUGCCAGUAAUUGGUUCAAUUGGUUUCUCCUUUUCCUGACAAUAUCUAUUAUUACUCGGGUAGGAUUUCAGGAUGAAAUAAUUAGCAAUGCAGCCUUUAUGGAAGCAUUUGACUGAAGGAUGUACCAAGGCCUAGGAGUGCUGGGAUUUGUGAUUUGUGAUGUGAUUCACCUCUCAAACUCCCAGUGACAGGUGGGGAUCUCCUUUGUGUCAGUGCAGAUGGAGGCAGCAUCUUGGGUGGUGGCUGUUCUGUCUGAAGCAUCAUAAGCUGCUUUGAAUUCAAGGGCCAGGACUGCCUCAAGGAUAAGUAAUAAGAGGUCCAGAAAUGCUGACAGUGUCUGUUGCUCCAGUUGCGUGGAAAAUGCUGUGUAAGAGUGGUUCCGAGUGCUACUUUAUAUGAAAAGAGUACAGCACAUUCUGAGUUGAGCACUCGUGUUUUGCAUUCUGUGUCCUUUAGCAUUUUCUGCCUGCAAGGUUUCAGUGUUCCCAUUUUUCUCAUACUCACCGAAAGCUCUCAUUGGCUUUAAUGAGUACUUGGCUGCUGCAAGUGCUGGAUAGCGUUUGAAACCCUAGCAAAAAACAUCUGAAGGUUUAUUUUACCAACCAUAAAGGAUUGCUUAGUGGAUUGCAGGAUAAUUUAGGACAGAAGAGGCUGACAGGGACCAGUUGUAACUCUUAAGUCACUGAGACCACUGGAGAGGUCACUUCAUCUACUUGGCCACUCACUCGAAUGACAGAGGAAACCUUUCACACAUCCAAGCCAAAAUCUGAUUUUUCACUCUACAAACCAUAGCCCAAAUUGAAUAUUGUACAUUCAACUGCAUUUAUUAUUAGCAAAAUGUUCCAGAUGAGGAAUCCUUUCCUGGAAAAUCUGCAGUAUCACUGAAUUAAACCAUUGGAGAACUCCUGUGAAUAUGGUCCCAGUCCCAGUAUACACAGCAUAACAGCCCCCAGGGGCACCAUCAAGCAAGGAUUUUGUUUUCUGAGAGUCGGGUGCAAUACUUUGACUCAGUGAGGAUGCUAUAAGAAGGUUUGCAUGCAUGGAGGUCUUCCUCUUCCAGGAAAAACUAGAGCUAUUUGCAGAUGGAGACAGUGAGGGGCUACGUAAGAUAUCAGUUUUGCAAAGCUAUGCUCCCGGUAAUAUAUACUGUAACUAUUUUAAAUGGCAGAGAUAUACAGAGGUGCCUGGAGAUGCCUUUACUACUUUUCCAGCACCAGUGAUGGUUUUGUUGUGUUCUUUGUUGAGGAAAGCACUGACAACAACACCACAGCCCUUGGAACAACUCCUGAGACCAACAGAAGUGCUCAGGAUUGCAAAGCUGAGCACGACUGGGCAGUGCUCAAACAUUCCUGGUGCUUUUAUCUCACUGGAAGAACUCUGAUCUCAAAGUGCUCUCUGCAUACCUGCUCAGUGUUUCCUACAUGGCCAGUGGGGGUAAGAAGAGUCAGUGGGUCUGCCUUGUCUCGUAACUGGUUUCUAAUUUUUGAGGUGUAAAACACAGGCUCCAUGCUGAAACUUUAAAAGAAGAAACUGUUGGCAGAAAUGAUGGGAACACAUCAGACAGAUUACAGCAUUGCUUUUUACUUAGAGGGAGGCAAAACUUGCUGGAAUGUACAAAUAAUUGCUCCAGGACCAAGUGCUUGGAAAUCAGCUGUCAUCAUCUAUUAGAAAUGUGAGAUACUCUGACAGUAAAGGGUAAAGGCUGCUUUGAAUCAAAUAGCAAAAAUUCUCUAAGGACCCCCUGGCAACAUCCUUUCCAACCCAGGCAUGAAGCUUUUGCCCUUUCAUGAUGAGUCAAAGCAAGACAGUGAAAAAGAUUGGUCUGGACAGCUGUGAAAUACAUGCUGAUUUAGUGAUUUGUGAUAGAAAUAUCCAGCUUGGUCUGUAGGAAUGGAGAUGCCUGCAUAUGAAAGCACCAGAAGAAACUCCAGGGCAAGGAUGAAGUGUUGUACUGAUAACAAAGGGAUCCAUUUGGUAAAUUACGUGUCUUUUGUAUUGAAACAGCACAGCAGCUCAGGAGAUCACCUGCACUCCAACAACAGGAAGAUAACAACAAGGUGCAACAGCUUGCCUACAACUUCCUCGUCCCGUUAUCCAGAAGGCAGGCGGCUGCUUUUAGAUACCAAAAUGAGGAAUCAUAGAAUCGUAGAACAACUUGGGUUGGAAGGGACCCAAGGAUCAUCAAGUUCCACAGGAAGGGCCACCAACCUCCAGAUCUGGUGCCAGACCAAGUUGCCCAAGGCCCCAUCCAACCUGGUCUUGACAAGAAGGAAGCAUAAAGGAGGCGUGGGAUCUUGGAAGUAUAUGGAGAGUAGAGUAAGCACAAUGGCCAUGGGCUCCUGAAGGCCAUGAAAGACCUGCCCCAAACCCAGCUCACUCGUGCCCACCAAGGAGAAAAGAGGGACAGAGAGAAGGAGAUAGUCCCUUCCCAUCCCUCAUACCUAGAAAGCAAACACUGUGUUUCAGAUCAAACAAUUCUUCACUGGUUCUAAAAUAAAUGUUUCUAUUUUUCCUUGCUGGUGGAACUAGAAUGCCCGUGUUCCCCCAAUGCAGGGGCAGAUGUUUCAGAAAAAGGUGUGGUAAUCUACUUUCCCAAGUGUUGCUGUGCCCAACCAAACCUUUGUGCUGAAGCUUGAAAACGGGACGACCUCUAAAAGGAGAAACGUGCAGCGUGACCCCAUGGGAUGCACAUCAUUGCACCUGGAGAUUCCAGGAGGGUUUUGGUGCUGGAAAGUUUCCAUUUCCUGAAGCAGUGCAAAGUUCUGCGCAUUGAGGUGUGUUGCUCCUGUGCACCACACAACUGCUCAUAAUUACCUGCUACAAAAUUUACCAUUUCUACCUCGACGCUACAUCAUAACCACCCAGGGUGGAGUCACUGAGCCCCUCUAGAGCAGGUUUACUUUGAAUAAGGGAAACCAAAGCACUGCAGAGGGAUAAAGCCCCAUUCACUCUGUAGAGAACAGACCAAAGGCGUCCAUUGGUUCCCAAGAGAUUUGUCUGUAGAAAUCUUCCCGAGUGCCAGCAAUUGUUAAGUCUCGCAGAGCAGAUUUCUAGCAGAAAAGAAAUCUAUGAUGCAGCAUUUGGAUCUAUAUUUAUGUGUGGAUAACAAAGUUCAUCUGCUCUAUGUAUAGAAAACCUAAAUGUGUCAUGUGUUAACUGCUUUUUCUGUGUGUGCUUGCAUACCUAAUAUGAAAAAUAUAAUCUGCACUACAAA
Molecule: non-coding RNA, 7283 nt
Organism: Meleagris gallopavo (turkey)
Lineage: Eukaryota; Metazoa; Chordata; Aves; Galliformes; Phasianidae
Source: RefSeq, a predicted model, not a curated record